UUUUGGACAAUGGGGGCAACCCUGAUCCAGCAAUGCCGCGUGAGUGAAGAAGGCCUUCGGGUUGUAAAGCUCUUUUGUCAGGGAAGAAACACCGGCUCUAACCCAGUCCGGGAAUGACGGUACCUGAAGAAUAAGCACCGGCUAACUACGUGCCAGCAGCCGCGGUAAUACGUAGGGUGCAAGCGUUAAUCGGAAUUACUGGGCGUAAAGCGUGCGCAGGCGGUUAUACAAGACAGGCGUGAAAUCCCCGGGCUUAACCUGGGAAUGGCGCCUGUGACUGUAUAGCUAGAGUGUGUCAGAGGGGGGUAGAAUUCCACGUGUAGCAGUGAAAUGCGUAGAUAUGUGGAGGAAUACCAAUGGCGAAGGCAGCCCCCUGGGAUAACACUGACGCUCAUGCACGAA
Molecule: ribosomal RNA, 402 nt
Filed under: uncultured bacterium
Lineage: Bacteria
Description: bacterial SSU rRNA
Rfam family: Bacterial small subunit ribosomal RNA
Source: RNAcentral